GUUUGCAGUUGUUGUAUUUUAUGUGGGUCACGUAGCAGUGUCUUUUGCUGUAAUUAUGCAACCGUGUUAUGAUAAUGAAGAAACUGGGUACAUGGUUUGUUAAAAGUUAAAUGGUGGGUUGAUAUACUAUGAGGUAUGUCAAAGCGAUGAUAACAUUUAGAUAGGAAAAAUAUUUGCUUAACCUUAGUGAAUAAUUAUCUCAAAAACAUUUCCGACGGUUGUUUUGGCAUUUAAUUUUGACUACAGUAGAAUACGUUCGACUGUAUAAAUGUUUUUGCAAGUGAUAACAUAAUUUUAAUAUACUUGGAACACAACGAGAUCAUGAAUUAAACUAUCGAGUAACAGUGUCGACUGAUGUUUCUGAGCUCAAGAAUCACUCGAUUCAUACAUGUAAACUGUUUUAAUGAUGGAGUUUUAAUUAAUUUAUAAAAGUUAUCGUUUAUAGAUUUUAAAACUUAUCGUAACGUGUUUCGUCCGGUAUUCUCCGGAAAUGUAAGUUAUUCCCUUUUUAUUGUUAUUUGAUCGCAAAUAGAUUUACAAUCUAAAUAAGAUAAACGCUCCAUUAAAUGAUAUCUUGAGUGAAGUUACGCCUAGGAACGCUUAUAGUACGUGUCUGACUAUGCUCGUCUGGAAUUGCUUAUGCUUACUCAGACCGAAGAACAUUCUGACUUUGUAAAUUUAAUAGCGAAACUUUUCAGAAAUUCGAUAUUCUCUAAACUUUAAUUAUUUAUAUUUAUACUAUAAUGAAUUACACAAGUAACCGUUAUAGAAGAUACUUUGACGACAUACAAAUUUCUCGAUCUACAUCCGAUUAAGCUUAAGUUGCACGUUAAAUCAAUGGAAUAUUCCACAGAGUCCGAGGAGUCCUUAUUACUCUAACUAACAAUGAUAAUGAGAAACGUACCAAAUGAGAUAUAAUCUUAAAUAAUUAGGGAAAAAAUCUUGUUCAUCUAACAAACUGGAUAUGAUAAUUCCAUCGCAACUCAAAACGUAUGAAUCAUCUAAGAUUUUAUUGGCAAUAAUUUUUAACCAGUACUAUCUGGCGAAUGGCACCAGAGCUGGAAACAUUAUCUAGAGCUGCAAACAAAGUUGUGAAGAUAAAGAAUUGAUUUCACGCUUCUCAAUUGACCCGUGCCAUUUAAUUGAGACAAAAGAUGCCGAGUGUUUCUUGGGCGACGAGAAAAGAAAUACGGAAAAAAGGAAGGGAAAAUAUGAACUGAUAAAGAAAGAAAUGUACAUAUCUAGAACGACGUAAGAUCGGGAAAUGCUUCGUUCAGUUGUUCAGCAUCGUGGACGCGUCUCCCAGCCUCGUUCCAAGCAGCGCAACGGUACAAUUAACGUUCUCAAGACGAGACGAAUGUUUCGUGUCUCGUUCUAUUUGUAAAAUCUCACCGGUGUUCUUUAUACACUCCCAGGUGUACGAUGAGUCAUCCAAUUCUGUAACUUAAUACAAUGAAUUUUUUAACUCAUUAAUGUCGCAAAAGAUUGUUUAGGUAUUAUUAGAAACACGUAAUGAACGUGAUGUCGCGUGUGUCAUUAAAAUUCGCGUCUUUAAGAGGCAAACAAGGCCAUAAUUGUCGCCGUUUUUACCAUACUACUGUUAUACUGUAGUACUGUUAAAACUUCUUCCACAGAUUAAGAAAGUUCAAUGUACUACCUAAGUGGUAAUAUUAACGCCGGCUUCUUGAAAAAUUAUAAUUUAAAUGGGUACAGCGAACGAUAUUCAUCAGCAUGUUACCUCCUAUGAAAAUAUCGUUUCCGGUGUUUCAAAUAAAGUACGACGUUUUUGGGCAAUAUGAAUUCAGCAUUUACACGCACAUUGUAAAAUCUGACUAUCUUAUUGCGAACGUUGAAACGGUUUUUUCGAAACGAAAAUUUGUUUUUAAUUAAUUAUCAAUAUCGAUUAAAUGCGUGUAGUAACGAGAAUUUUGGAGGUGGUUUUUGCUAGUAAAAAGAUGAUGAAGAAAUAUAUAAAGUUAGUUUCUAUAAUAUUAAGAAUUCAGUUGUCUCACCUUGUAUGUAGGCAUGACUCAUUUUGUCCCGUCGGUACAACGCCUUAUGCUAUUGUUCUUCUGCCCAAUUAAAGCAUUUUCCCCUCGACUGAUAUCUUUUACCUCCUUUUUUCACUUGGUUUAAUAAUGGCUCUCCUCGACGACCACUCCUUUAGAUAGUGCUGUAAAACGGGACUUUCUCUUUGGAACCGUCUUCGAUGAAAUUGUUUAUUAAACCCUUUCAAGUUUCUACGUAUCACUUAAUAUGGGUUAAACACCCAUUUUCAUUCGAAAACUAUUUUUAUAAAACACCUCAUCAAUGUAAUCUCUUUUUAAAAAGAAAAUUAUGUACGCCAUGAGAUAUAAUCUACUACACGCAUUGGAGACGAUAUCUUAGGUCUCAUUUUUUUUAUUAUUCCACACAGAAUAUUCAGAUAUCUCUUUCGUAGAUGUAUAAAGAAUAUUUUAUAACUUGAUUUUAAAUGUUUAAGGACGAAGCUAAGUAUUAGUAAAUACAUAAGUAAUUCUAUAUAAAGUAUAUAUCUGUUUACCUGUACUAUGACAUAAAUUUUAUUACAAGAUUUCGUGAGACAUAAAUUUCUAGAAAAUUACCGCCGACGAAACGUUAUCAAUAGUUUAACAUAGAAUCGAUGAAACAAGAAGGGUAUCCAGAUGAGAACCGUCUGAUAUCCCCAGAUUAUUAGUUUAUCAUUAAUUAAUAUAUAUUUGAAACCCAUCCUUUGUGUUUUAUUCCGUGCGUAAAAAUUAUUAACUCUCUUCAAUAGUGAACAAAGUCUUCCAAUAAUUCGAGAUAGCGUUAUAAAGCCAGAUUCCAUUGUUAUGCAAAAAUCCCAUAUAUCAUGUUGUUCAAAUAAACUAAAACUUUUAUUUAUCUCAUCGCACUUCCGCAACCUUCGACGAGGGAUAUUUGCACGUGGUACUGUUACAUAUUGUAUAAGAGAGGUAUCUUGCACUUGAAAUCAAGGGGAUAGGUUUAGGAGCGAUUCAAUGUAAAUUCAGCGAAGGAACACUGACGAAGUUGAAUCAAUGUAUGCAAAUCGAUGCAGCGGGUAAUUUAAGCUGAUUGGUGCAUUGUUACUGUUAUUACAAGACGAUUCGUUGUUUCUGUUUGGAGUAAAAAUCGCAAAGGAGAAGUAUGUAGAUGGCGAGAGAGACAGAGAGAAAGAGAGAGAGAGAGAAAGAGAGAGAGAGAGAGAGAGAAAGAUGAAGUGGAAGGCUGUAUUUUACGUAUCGGCACGUUUAUUUGAAAAUAAUGCAAUACAAGCUCUCGAUGAAAACUUCAACAGAACUAGAAAAUAUUUGUCUUAAACACAAUUUCAAUAGUUUAAUGCAAUAGAAAAUAAAAAUAAACUUGAAUCCUUAGGCUUCAAAGGAUUAGAAAAUGGAAAUGGGGAAGCUGUAAAAUCGUUUCAAGCAUCCUUCUAUUCAUUUUGUCGUAAUAAUUUUCUUCAGCCGAACAGUAAAAAAUUUAAGAAGUUAAACAUGUGACACCUUACGAAACAGCCUGUUAAUUUCCAGAACCUCAACUUUUCGAUAGCAAGAUGUGUAAUUACAAGAUAAGAGGUAUUUAAAGGAGGUCAGGCUUUGACGAAAACAUUAAGUUCAAGACUGGAGACGUAGCCUGGAAGCGUUACCUGUGAGACGUCACGUAUAUAUAUGCGUCGCAGAUAAACUGUCGUCUCAAUGUUUUAUCUGCAUUAUUCCCAAUAAGAUAAGAUAUAUUUCUCUCUCUCUCUCCCUCUCUCUCUCUCUCUCUCUCUGCAAGAGUCUGCGAAAUGCUCUAUGGAAUCAUUCUUGUAGAAAAUCCUUGCCACCCAAGGAAGUCGUUUAUCGUGAGAUGAAAUCGUUCAUUAAACUUAUGUAGAUAGAGCAAAAUCCGAUGCAUAACAAGUUUAUACCGUCGCAAUAUUUUCUAUGUUUGAAUUAAUUUAAAUAAUCUCAGAAAUAGUAAAUUUAUUUAAUAUAUUUAAUAUAACGAUGCUUGUUUGAUAAAAGAUGGAAAAUAAACAAACAGCGAUUUAUUUCGUUGUUGAUCGUAAUUUGCAUACCUACCUCAGUUAAGGAAAUAACUUUGUUUGCCUCCUGACAAAUAAAGAAUCACUGGAUGCUAUAUUUAAAGUAGUAAAUUACGCGGUAAAACUUCUUGUUAUCUAAACGAAAUGCUCGUCGAAAUUGCGUCUAACUUGUUUCCCGCAAAAUUAUACCUUGUACUGUUUGGUACAGUAACACUAUUGCUAAUGGAAGAGAAUCGAUGCUAAGUAACAAGAUUGACAUUCGCAAGUAUUCUUAGACGAUGAAUUUUUGGACGAUGAAAUCAUUGGGAUAGACAUUCUAGAUAUUGUACUGUGGUAAAAAAGGUAACAGUCAAUUGGUAAAAAAUAUCGAAUGUAGGGCUUCCUAUAGACCGAGAUAAAAGGUAAAUCGCCUGAAUCUUACAUAUCUUGUAAUUAAUAAGUAAAUUCAAAAAUAAUAAUAAAUCAAAUGAAAAAUAGCCUGAAUCUUACAUAUUUUAUGAUCAAUCAUGAUCCUCCGCUUUUUACCAAUUAUGUUUGAACCUAAAAAUUCAGAUAAAGUUUACCCUACUACUAUUCUUGAAUUCUCAUUUUCCAACAUUUCUCUCGUUCCUGUAGGUAAAGAGACUUUUAACAUUUAAAAGAUAUAUUUAAUAUAAAGUUGAAAUGGAGAAUAACAUAUAUUAGUAAUUCAUUCGUAUCCCUCUUGAGCGAAACAAUUUUUUGGACAAAAAAAUGAUGUGACUAUAUAUGAAAUGAGCCAAAGGACAUAACAGGGUUAAAAUUAAAUAUGGGUAAUUCUGCAUUCCAAGUAACAUAAUUCACGAUAAAAAGAGAAUCACGUUCUAAGAUAAUGUCCUUCUUGUGUCAUAUCACACAACAAUUGACGUCAUUUAAUUCGUUUAUUAAUCGAUCACAAACCGUUGAACUUGCUGAAAUUCUACUACGGAUCUACGACACACUCGCAGAUAAGGAGAAUGAUAUGUUCGGACUCGGAGAAAAGAAAAAGAAAUAAAACGAAGGCUUCAUGGCCGGAGGUUAGUCAGCGGAUCCCGUUCCUCAGCCGUUCUUCCUUUCUCUUCGUCUCUCUCAUUUCGCGAAGGUCAUCUGGUUUUAAAUAGGGAAUCGUUGAUCCAUACAGGCGUCAUUUUAAAUAUCAGAAGGCUGUGAUACUUCCUGUAAUUUACUACUAGAAUUGCACAGCCUAUACGCUAUAUAUAUAUAUAUUGUCAAUAAUUUGACAGAUUUUCUAAAAACAGUUGUUCAAGUGAUCGCCGUUUUAUUCGUCGUUUCCCGGUGUUACCGGCAUUCAGCGAACGUCAGUUUCCCAACGACUUCGCGAAUUCGCGUAAAGUUUACGAUCUUGCAUCAUAGACUCCGUUCAAAUCGAAUAUAUUUAACAUGAAAUAUCUGGUUUUGGAAUUAAUUUUGUAUUUUUAUGAUAGUCUGUCGAUGCGAUUUAACAUUUAACUCUUAUCCUCUCUCCAUUUUCUUCAUGUAAUAUUUUUUCAAUUUAUUCUUUGGUAUCAAGGUAUAAUGACGGAAAGCAGCUAAAAAGAGUAUAAAGAAUUUUAUACAAUUAAUCUAUCGUGUAAAUAAGGAAUAAAUUUGCAUCAUUCCUUCGACAAAUAUAAUAUUUUGAAAAAUUAAACAUUUGAUGAAAAAGAGUAUACAGUGCAAAUUACGUUUGCUGUAUGUCAAUCAAUGGUCGUUUAAAGCUCUCUCGAUAAAAAUUCUAUUGAGUUGUAAGUGGUAAAGAGAGACAAUUUUCGAGGACAAUUAGCGUCGUAAUUGAUACCGCAAUCGUUAGGCGCGAAUACACUUUUAUUUGUACGAUUCUGGGUGAGCAACACGAUUAAUCAGCGAUAAUUGAUUAUUAGUAAUUAUUACUUGAUCUACAGUCUGUUAGGAUUCUGUCCCUGACCAUUGAAAUUGUGUUAAUCGUUUAGUGACUACGAAACGAUUUCGUAGGCGCCAUGAGAUUUGUUAAAACAAUUCGAACGUUGUUAUUGGCGCCGUAAGCUGGUGUUAUCUGGAUUCGACAGACCAAGUUAAAUACAUCAGACAUCGUCUAUUCAAACGACGUUUUCUGCCGCACAAACAAGCUUCGUUGAAUCUAACAAAGUCGUUGGACGUUGACGUUGUUCGGUACAAGACACGAGAUGCAAAUAUUAUGAAAACGUAGGUGGUCACCGGUAAAAUAAACGAUGGAUUAGUGACUCGAUUUCGAAACUAAACAUAAAGACCAGAAAAUAA
Long non-coding RNA from Bombus huntii, 6280 nucleotides. RefSeq lists it as uncharacterized. The transcript is spliced from 3 exons. The record is from RefSeq and is a predicted model, not a curated record. NCBI's taxonomy places the organism in Eukaryota, Metazoa, Arthropoda, Insecta, Hymenoptera, Apidae.